This 433-nucleotide ribosomal RNA is filed under the name uncultured bacterium. Its description in RNAcentral is "partial 16S ribosomal RNA". It matches the Rfam family "Bacterial small subunit ribosomal RNA", at positions 29 to 507 of the family's 1533-position model. The record is from RNAcentral.
AACGAACGCUGGCGGCAUGCCCAACACAUGCAAGUCGAACGAGACCUUCGGGUCUAGUGGCGCACGGGUGCGUAACGCGUGGGAACCUGCCCUUAGGUUCGGAAUAACUCCCCGAAAGGGGUGCUAAUACCGGAUAAUGUCUUCGGACCAAAGAUUUAUCGCCUUUGGAUGGGCCCGCGUUGGAUUAGCUAGUUGGUAGGGUAAAAGCCUACCAAGGCGACGAUCCAUAGCUGGUCUGAGAGGAUGAUCAGCCACACUGGGACUGAGACACGGCCCAGACUCCUACGGGGGGCAGCAGUGGGGAAUAUUGGACAAUGGGCGAAAGCCUGAUCCAGCAAUGCCGCGUGAGUGAUGAAGGCCUUAGGGUUGUAAAGCUCUUUUACCCGGGAUGAUAAUGACAGUACCGGGAGAAUAAGCUCCGGCUAACUCCGUG